This is a long non-coding RNA of Myiozetetes cayanensis, 978 nucleotides long. RefSeq lists it as uncharacterized. NCBI's taxonomy places the organism in Eukaryota, Metazoa, Chordata, Aves, Passeriformes, Tyrannidae. The record is from RefSeq and is a predicted model, not a curated record. The transcript has 3 exons.
UGACAGUUGGGGGGCUCAGGGGUCUCCAACCCUUUAUUCUAUGUAUUUCCUGUAUUUUUUGGGAGGCCCCCACCCAGCCCCUUUUCCCUGGGGGUGUCCCUUGGGAUAACACUGGUAUUCCUGGGGUCCCCAAAUCCCCGUCUCCAGGUGUUCCCUGUGUCCUUUGGGAUGACAGUUGGGGGGCUCAGGGGUCUCCAACCCUUCACUCUGUGUAUUUCCUGUAUCCUUUGGGAGGCCCCCACCCAGCCCCUUUUCCCUGGGGUGUCCCUUGGGAUAACACUGGUAUUCCCGGGGUCCCCAAAUCCCCGUCUCCAGGUGUUCCCUGUGUCCUUUGGGAUGACAGUUGGGGGCUCAGGGGCUCUCCAACCCUUUAUUCUGUGUAUUUCCUGUAUUCUUUGGGGGGCCCCCACCCAGCCCCUUUUCCCCGGGGUGUCCCUUGGGAUAACACUGGUAUUCCCGGGGUCCCCAAAUCCCCGUCUCCGGGUGUUCCCUGUGUCCUUUGGGAUGACAGUUGGGGGGCUCAGGGGCUCUCCAACCCUUCACUCUGUGUAUUUCCUGUAUUCUUUGGGAGGCCCCCACCCAGCCCCUUUUCCUGGGGGUGUCCCUUGGGAUAACACUGGUAUUCCCGGGGUCCCCAAAUCCCCGUCUCCAGGUGUUCCCUGUGUCCUUUGGGAUGACAGUUGGGGGCUCAGGGGCUCUCCAACCCUUUAUUCUGUGUAUUUCCUGUAUUUUUUGGGAGGCCCCCACCCAGCCCCUUUUCCCCGGGGUGUCCCUUGGGAUAACAGCAACAUUCCUGGGGUCCCCAAAUCCCCGUCUCCAGGUGUUCCCUGUGUCCUUUGGGAUGACAGCUGGGGGCUCAGGGGCUCUCCAACCCUUUAUUCUAUGUAUUUCCUGUAUUUUUUGGGAGGCCCCCACCCAGCCCCUUUUCCCCGAGGUGUCCCUUGGGAUAACAACAACAUUCCUGGUUUUUUUUUUUUU